CCCUUAGAUGUUCUGGGCCGCACGCGCGCUACACUGACGAAGUCAGCGAGCAUCUCCUACGCCGAAAGGUGCGGGGAAUCUUGUGAAACUUUGUCGUGCUGGGGAUUGAUUUUUGAAAUUCUUGAUCAUAAACGAGGAAUUCCUAGUAAGCGCAAGUCAGCAGCUUGCGUUGAUUACGUCCCUGCCCUUUGUACACACCGCCCGUCGCUCCUACCAAUUUCGAGCGGCUCGGUGAACCUUUCUUCUCUCGACUGCAUGGCAACAUGCGACGCACGAAGAAUUGUAAACCUGGUCGCUUAGAGGAAGGAGAAGUCGUAACA
Molecule: ribosomal RNA, 320 nt
Filed under: uncultured eukaryote
Lineage: Eukaryota
Description: partial 18S ribosomal RNA
Rfam family: Eukaryotic small subunit ribosomal RNA
Source: RNAcentral